RNAcentral lists this small RNA (126 nucleotides) under Caenorhabditis brenneri. RNAcentral's name for it is "sRNA CBN34311". The record is from RNAcentral. Lineage: Eukaryota; Metazoa; Nematoda; Chromadorea; Rhabditida; Rhabditidae.
UUUCAAAGCGAGUUAUGCGCCUUUAAAGUUGGAGGUGAGAGACGCCAGAGAAGCAGACAGUCGUUUUCUCUGCCGUCUCUCACUCUCUCACCCUCCAACUUUAAAGGCGCAUCACUCGCUUCAAAA